GGACAUGUGCCCGAAAGAUAAGGACUACCUUGAUAGGGUAAUUUAUAGAGGUUCAAACCCUCUCAUUUCC
RNAcentral lists this transfer RNA (70 nucleotides) under Mertensiella caucasica. Its description in RNAcentral is "tRNA-Ile". It matches the Rfam family "tRNA". Rfam says of the family: Transfer RNA (tRNA) molecules are approximately 80 nucleotides in length. Their secondary structure includes four short double-helical elements and three loops (D, anti-codon, and T loops). The record is from RNAcentral. Lineage: Eukaryota; Metazoa; Chordata; Amphibia; Caudata; Salamandridae.